ACGGGCACUACGGUAAGGUAAGACGCGAAACACCCGAUCCCAUUCCGACCUCGAUAUGUGAAGUGAAAUCGUCUUGCGCCAUAUGUACCGCGUUUGCGGGAGACAUGGUCCAGUGCCCGCC
RNAcentral lists this ribosomal RNA (121 nucleotides) under Sciadopitys verticillata. The record is from RNAcentral. Lineage: Eukaryota; Viridiplantae; Streptophyta; Pinopsida; Cupressales; Sciadopityaceae.